RNAcentral lists this ribosomal RNA (1386 nucleotides) under uncultured Bolidomonas. RNAcentral describes it as "partial Bacterial large subunit ribosomal RNA". It matches the Rfam family "Bacterial large subunit ribosomal RNA", at positions 9 to 1448 of the family's 2925-position model. Lineage: Eukaryota; Bolidophyceae. The record is from RNAcentral.
UAAUAAGGGCAUCUGGUGGAUGCCUUGGCGUUAAGAGGCGAUGAAAGACGUGGCACUCUGCGAUAAGCUACGGUGAGCCGAGAGCAGGCUUUGACCCGUAGAUUUCUGAAUGGGGAAACCCCACCCAAUAGGGUGAUCCCAACGUGAAUACAUAGCGUUGGGAGGCGAACCCGGGGAACUGAAACAUCUCAGUACCCGGAGGAAAGGACAUCAACCGAGACUCUGCUAGUAGCGGCGAGCGAACGCGGACCAGGCCAGUGGCUUAUGCAUAAGAACCGGAACGAUCUGGAAAGGUCGGCCAUAGUGGGUGAUAGCCCCGUACGGGUAGAAAUUGCAUAAGUCCUCGAGUAGGGCGGGACACGUGAAAUCCUGUCUGAACAUGGGGGGACCACCCUCCAAGCCUAAGUACUCCUUAACGACCGAUAGUGUACCAGUACCGUGAGGGAAAGGUGAAAAGCACCCCGAUGAGGGGAGUGAAAUAGACCUGAAACCGGAUGCCUACAAGCAGUAGGAGCCUCCAUUGUGAGGUGACUGCGUACCUUUUGUAUAAUGGGUCAGCGACUUAUGUUCAGUGGCGAGGUUAACCGUUUAGGGGAGCCGUAGGGAAACCGAGUCUGAAUAGGGCGAUUUAGUCGCUGGGCAUAGACCCGAAACCGGGCGAUCUAUCCAUGAGCAGGUUGAAGGUUGAGUAACAUCAACUGGAGGACCGAACCCACUGUCUUUGAAAAGCCAGGGGAUGACUUGUGGAUCGGAGUGAAAGGCUAAUCAAGCCCGGAGAUAGCUGGUUCUCCCCGAAAGCUAUUUAGGUAGCGCCUCGGACGAAUACCACAGGGGGUAGAGCACUGUUUCGGCUAGGGGGUCAUCCCGACUUACCAACCCGAUGCAAACUCCGAAUACCUGUGAGUACUAUCCGGGAGACACACGGUGGGUGCUAACGUCCAUCGUGAAGAGGGAAACAACCCAGACCGCCAGCUAAGGUCCCCAAAUACCAGUUAAGUGGGAAACGAUGUGGGAAGGCUCAGACAGCUAGGAGGUUGGCUUAGAAGCAGCCAUCCUUUAAAGAAAGCGUAACAGCUCACUGGUCUAAAUAAGCUGUCCCGCGCCGAAGAUGUACCGGGGCUCAAGCCACACACCGAAACUGCGGACUUGUUCUUUGAACAAGUGGUAGCGGAGCGUUCCGUAAGCCUGUGAAGGUGUGCCGUAAGGCAUGCUGGAGGUAUCGGAAGCGAGAAUGCUGACAUGAGUAGCGAUAAAGGGAGUGAGAACCUCCCUCGCCGAAAGCCCAAGGGUUCCUGCGCAAGGCCAAUCCGCGCAGGGUGAGUCGGCCCCUAAGACGAGGCAGAAAUGCGUAGUCGAUGGGAAACAGGUUAAUAUUCCUGUACCCGU